CCUACGGGUGGCAGCAGUGAGGAAUAUUGGUCAAUUGGCGGGAGCCUGAACCAGCCAAGCCGCGUGAGGGAAGCAGGUACAGCGUAUCGUAAACCUCUUUUGUCAGGGAACAAAGGCGGGGACUAGUCCCCGGCUGAGGGAACCUGAAGAAAAAGCAUCGGCUACCUCCGUUCCAGCAGCCGCGGUAAAACGGAGGAUGCGAGCGUUAUCCGGAUUUUUUGGGUUUAAAGGGUGCGCAGGCGGCCGGUUAAGUCAGCGGUAAAAGCCCGGGGCUAAACCCCGGCGAGCCGUUGAAACUGGGGGGCUGGAGUUGGAGAGAAGUACGCGGAAUGCGCGGUGUAGCGGUGAAAUGCUUAGAUAUCGCGCAGAACCCCGGUUGCGAAGGCAGCGUACCGGCUCCACACUGACGCUGAGGCACGAAAGCGUGGGUAUCGAACAGGAUUAGAUACCCUAGUAGUC
RNAcentral lists this ribosomal RNA (459 nucleotides) under uncultured bacterium. RNAcentral's name for it is "partial 16S ribosomal RNA". It matches the Rfam family "Bacterial small subunit ribosomal RNA", at positions 338 to 795 of the family's 1533-position model. The record is from RNAcentral.